UACGAAGGGGGCUAGCGUUGCUCGGAAUCACUGGGCGUAAAGCGCACGUAGGCGGGCUCUUAAGUCGGUGGUGAAAUCCUGGAGCUCAACUCCAGAACUGCCUCCGAUACUGAGAGUCUUCGAGUCCGGGAGAGGUGAGUGGAACUGCGAGUGUAGAGGUGAAAUUCGUAGAUAUCAAGCGGAACACCGGUGGCGAAGGCGGCCUUCUGGACAGUGACUGACGCUGAGACGCGAAAGCGUGGGGAGCAAACAGG
Molecule: ribosomal RNA, 254 nt
Filed under: uncultured bacterium
Lineage: Bacteria
Description: partial 16S ribosomal RNA
Rfam family: Bacterial small subunit ribosomal RNA
Source: RNAcentral